This 468-nucleotide ribosomal RNA is filed under the name uncultured bacterium. Its description in RNAcentral is "partial 16S ribosomal RNA". It matches the Rfam family "Bacterial small subunit ribosomal RNA", at positions 28 to 507 of the family's 1533-position model. The record is from RNAcentral.
GACGAACGCUGGCGGCGUGCUUAACACAUGCAAGUCGAACGGAAAGGCCCUGCUUUUGUGGGGUGCUCGAGUGGCGAACGGGUGCGUAACACGUGAUUAACCUGCCCUUGACUUUGGGGUAACUUCGGGUAACUGGGGCUAAUACCGGAUAGGAGCUCCUGCUGCAUGUUGGGGGUUGGUAAGUUUCGGCGGUUGGGGAUGGACUCGCUGCUUAUCAGCUUGUUGGUGUGUUAGUGGCUUGCCAAGGCUUUGACGGGUAGCCGGCCUGAGAGGGUGACCGGCCACAGUGGGACUGAGAUACGGCCCAGACUCCUACGGGAGGAAGCAGUGGGGAACAUUGCACAAUGGGCGGAAGCCGGAUGCAGCAACGCCGGGUGCUGGAUGACGGCCUUCGGGUUGUAAACCGCUUUCGCCUGGGACGAAGCGUGAGUGACGGUAAUGUGUAAAGAAGCACCGGCUAACUACGUG